ACUCCUACGGGAGGCAGCAGUAGGGAAUUUUGCACAAUGGGCGAAAGCCUGAUGCAGCGACGCCGCGUGGGGGAUGAAGGCCCUAGGGUCGUAAACCCCUUUCGCUGGGGACGAAAAUGACGGUACCCAGAUAAGAAGCCCCGGCCAACUACGUGCCAGCAGCCGCGGUAAGACGUAGGGGCAAGCGUUGUCCGGAAUUAUUGGGCGUAAAGAGCUCGUAGGCGGUUGCGUAAGUCGGAUGUGAAAACUCGAGGCUCAACCUCGAGACGCCAUCCGAUACUGCGCUGACUAGAAUCCGGUAGAGGAGUGUGGAAUUCCUGGUGUAGCGGUGAAAUGCGCAGAUAUCAGGAGGAACACCAAUGGCGAAGGCAGCACUCUGGGCCGGUAUUGACGCUGAGGAGCGAAAGCGUGGGUAGCAAACAGGAUUAGAUACCCUGGUAGGCUCUGCU
RNAcentral lists this ribosomal RNA (449 nucleotides) under uncultured bacterium. RNAcentral's name for it is "bacterial SSU rRNA". It matches the Rfam family "Bacterial small subunit ribosomal RNA", at positions 335 to 801 of the family's 1533-position model. The record is from RNAcentral.